RNAcentral lists this ribosomal RNA (253 nucleotides) under uncultured bacterium. RNAcentral describes it as "partial 16S ribosomal RNA". It matches the Rfam family "Bacterial small subunit ribosomal RNA", at positions 524 to 776 of the family's 1533-position model. The record is from RNAcentral.
GACAGAGGGUGCAAACGUUGUUCGGAAUUACUGGGCGUAAAGCGCGUGUAGGCGGCUUGGCAAGUCGGGUGUGAAAGCCCCGGGCUCAACCUGGGAAGUGCACUCGAAACUGCUUGGCUUGAGUACUGGAGAGGGAAGCGGAAUUCUCGGUGUAGAGGUGAAAUUCGUAGAUAUCUGGAGGAACACCGGUGGCGAAGGCGGCGUUCUGGACUGCAACUGACACUGAAAAACGAAAGCCAGGGGAGCAAACGGG